This 477-nucleotide ribosomal RNA is filed under the name uncultured bacterium. RNAcentral describes it as "SSU rRNA". It matches the Rfam family "Bacterial small subunit ribosomal RNA", at positions 26 to 518 of the family's 1533-position model. The record is from RNAcentral.
AGGACGAACGCUGGCGGCGUGCUUAACACAUGCAAGUCGAACGAGGCCCUACCUUCGGGUAGGUGACCUAGUGGCGAACGGGUGAGUAACACGUGGGCAACCUACCCUCAGCUCUGGGAUAACCCCGGGAAACCGGAGCUAAUACCGGAUAUGACCUAGAACGACAUCGUUCUUGGUGGAAAGUUUUUCGGCUGAGGAUGGGCCCGCGGCCUAUCAGCUUGUUGGUGGGGUAAUGGCCCACCAAGGCGACGACGGGUAGCCGGCCUGAGAGGGCGAUCGGCCACACUGGGACUGAGACACGGCCCAGACUCCUACGGGAGGCAGCAGUGGGGAAUAUUGCGCAAUGGGCGAAAGCCUGACGCAGCGACGCCGCGUGAGGGAUGAAGGCCUUCGGGUUGUAAACCUCUUUCAGCAGGGACGAAGCGAAAGUGACGGUACCUGCAGAAGAAGCACCGGCAACUACGUGCCAGCAGCCGC